CCUCUCGAUGAAGAGGAGAUGGUUUCGUAUAUCCUGACCGGCCUCGACUACGACCACAAUCCUCUCGUGACUUCUCUUGUGUCGUAGGUGGAACCAAUCUUUGUCGCCGAGCUUUAUACCCAGCUGCUAAACUUUGAGC
This is a small nucleolar RNA of Phragmites australis (common reed), 139 nucleotides long. RefSeq annotates it as small nucleolar RNA Z247. Lineage: Eukaryota; Viridiplantae; Streptophyta; Magnoliopsida; Poales; Poaceae. The transcript has a single exon. The record is from RefSeq and is a predicted model, not a curated record.